Molecule: ribosomal RNA, 117 nt
Filed under: Sinocyclocheilus grahami
Lineage: Eukaryota; Metazoa; Chordata; Actinopteri; Cypriniformes; Cyprinidae
Source: RNAcentral
UGUCACAGUCAUAUCACCCUGUAGCCCAAGACUGGUUGCCCACUGAAGCUAAGCAGGGUUGACCCUGGUUAGUACCUGGAUGGGAGACCUCCUGGGAAAACUAGGUUGCUGUUGGAA